Molecule: ribosomal RNA, 492 nt
Filed under: uncultured bacterium
Lineage: Bacteria
Description: partial 16S ribosomal RNA
Rfam family: Bacterial small subunit ribosomal RNA
Source: RNAcentral
GGUGAACGCUGGCGGUAGGCCUAACACAUGCAAGUCGAACGGAAGCACAGUAAGAGCUUGCUCUUACGGGUGGCGAGUGGCGGACGGGUGAGGAAUAGAUCGGCAUCUACUUUUUCGUGGGGGAUAACGUGGGGAAACUUACGCUAAUACAGCAUACGACCUACGGGUGAAAGCAGGGGAUCUUCGGACCUUGCGCGAUUGAAUGAGCCGAUGUCGGAUUAGCUAGUUGGCAGGGUAAAGGCCCACCAAGGCAACGAUCCGUAGCCGGUCUGAGAGGAUGAUCAGCCACACUGGAACUGAGACACGGUCCAGACUCCUACGGGAGGCAGCAGUGGGGAAUAUUGCACAAUGGGCGCAAGCCUGAUCCAGCCAUACCGCGUGGGUGAAGAAGGCCUUCGGGUUGUAAAGCCCUUUUGUUGGGAAAGAAAAGCAGCAUGUUAAUACCCCGCUGUUCUGACGGUACCCAAAGAAUAAGCACCGGCUAACUUCGUG